Molecule: ribosomal RNA, 174 nt
Filed under: uncultured bacterium
Lineage: Bacteria
Description: partial 16S ribosomal RNA
Rfam family: Bacterial small subunit ribosomal RNA
Source: RNAcentral
UCCUACGGGAGGCAGCAGUGAGGAAUAUUGGUCAAUGGGCGCAAGCCUGAACCAGCCAUGCCGCGUGCAGGAUGACGGUCCUAUGGAUUGUAAACUGCUUUUGUACGAGAAGAAACACUCCUUCGUGAAGGAGCUUGACGGUAUCGUAAGAAUAAGGAUCGGCUAACUCCGUGC